This is a long non-coding RNA of Camelina sativa (false flax), 413 nucleotides long. RefSeq lists it as uncharacterized. The record is from RefSeq and is a predicted model, not a curated record. Lineage: Eukaryota; Viridiplantae; Streptophyta; Magnoliopsida; Brassicales; Brassicaceae.
GGUCCUUAGGAGUCAUUUUCGUUUGCCUUCUUCCCUUAGAGGAAGUUAGAGAGAAAGAGUUAAAGAGAGAAAGAUAGGGAAAGAGCGAGAGAGAGAGUUAUUCCCUUAGAGUUUCUCUUCCGCGAGUUGUUAGCCGAGUCCCGCUGUAGGAGCUGGUCGCAUCUAGUCCCUGCUAGAAGUAUGAUUAGAUCUUGUUCUUCUCAGCCAAGCCAGGUAACCUUAGUGGGAAAAGCCUUAGAGGGGAGCGCAGGACGUUAGGCCAGCCGGUGUAGAGUUGCGUUGCCUUUGCAAGUUGUUGUUUCUUUUUGUAAAAUUAAAUUAUCAUGUUUUGGCUCUAGGCCUGGUACCAAAAACGUUGUUAAUGUUUUAUGAACGUAUUUUCGUUAAGUAAUUAAAGUUGAAAGUUAUUUUUA